GAUGAACGCUGGCGGCGUGCCUAAUACAUGCAAGUCGAACGGAAAGGCCCUGCUCUUGUGGGGUUCACGAGUGGCGAACGGGUGUGUAACACGCGUGUAACCCCCCCCUGUCUUUGGGAUAACUCUAGGAAACUGCGGCUAAAAUCGCAUAGGAUCUCUUGCUGCACGGGGGGGGUUGGAAAGUUUCGGCGGUUGGGGAUCGACUCGCGGCUUAUCCGCUUCUUGGUGGGGUAGUGGCGUACAAAGGUUUUGACGGGUAGCCGGCCUGAGAGGGUGGCCGGCCACAUUGGGACUGAGAUACGGACCAGAAUCCUACGGGAGGCAGCAGUGGGAAAUAUUGCACAAUGGGCGGAAGCCUGAUGCAGCAACGCCGCGUGCGGGAUAACGGCCUUCGGGUUGUAAACCGCUUUCGCCUGUGACGAGGCGUGAGUGACGGUAAUGGGUAAAGAAGCACCGGCUAACUACGUG
This 468-nucleotide ribosomal RNA is filed under the name uncultured bacterium. RNAcentral describes it as "partial 16S ribosomal RNA". It matches the Rfam family "Bacterial small subunit ribosomal RNA", at positions 28 to 507 of the family's 1533-position model. The record is from RNAcentral.